This 674-nucleotide long non-coding RNA is filed under the name Hordeum vulgare. RNAcentral describes it as "long non-coding RNA (HVUL_LNC002578)". Lineage: Eukaryota; Viridiplantae; Streptophyta; Magnoliopsida; Poales; Poaceae. The record is from RNAcentral.
UACUUGCAAGGAAACUUGUUUUCUGUAUUGAGGAAAUUGCAAGGAAAUUUCCAGGGAGAUACUACUACUAAAUAUUAAGUCCACACUGCAUAAUUCGCCUUCAUAUAUACUUGAUCAUAACUUGAUAAGCAAGCAAGCAAGCUUAUGUACAGGAAAUAUAGUCCGGUCUAUAAUGAAAAACAUACUAGCAACUGAUUACUCGCGUCGAUCUUUGUGUCUACGUACUACUAGUAUACCGACAAUGUGAGGUCUUGAAAAUAUCAAAGGGGAGAUGUGCACCAGCUGCAUGCUAUUGUGUGGCUUCGUCUUGAAUACAAACAAUCCAGACCCCUCCGCCAGGAUCGACAAUCAGGAUAAGAUCGUAGCCGGGAGGCAUCAGCGGCGCCAUGAUAGAGAUCAUAUCUAGAAAGAGAAUAACAUAUGGCGUACUCCGUAAGAAUCAAUACACCAAGAGAAGGAAGAAAACUUAAGAAAUUAAGUACCGUUGCGCGGCGAAGAUGGACGUAAGAGAUGUCGGUCGAUUGAUCGACGAGGUAGCUCGAGGUGGUCCGUCGAUCGCCGCAGGCUGCGUGGUUGAGGAGAGUGGCUUUGGGAGCUCGGGGUUGCAGGGGAGAGGGAGAGAGGCUUCUGCGGCGAGGAUGGAUGGAGCAGACACUCUAUUUGUAGGAUUAUAG